This 194-nucleotide unclassified non-coding RNA is filed under the name uncultured fungus. RNAcentral's name for it is "sequence contains ITS1". The record is from RNAcentral. Lineage: Eukaryota; Fungi.
UUAAUUUAUUUUUUGCUUUAGAAGCCACUCAGAAGAUACUGAAGUAAAAACAGAGUUUGAGGUCUUGCGGCGGGGGCCUGGUUCCGGCGCACAGGGCGCCGGGGCGAUCCCGCCGAAGCAACGAUAGGUAUGUUCACAGGGGUUUGGGAGUUGUAAACUCAGUAAUGAUCCCUCCGCUGGUUCACCAACGGAGA